AACUCUUAGCGGUGGAUCACUCGGCUCGUGCGUCAGUAAGAACGCAGCUAGAUGCGAGAAAUAAUGUGAAUUGCAGGACACAUUGAUCAUCAACACUUCAAACGCACCCCGGGUUCCUCACCGCUUCCCCUCCACCGCGGGGGGAAGAGGUCGAUGAAGAGCGC
This is a ribosomal RNA of 164 nucleotides. It matches the Rfam family "5.8S ribosomal RNA". Rfam says of the family: 5.8S ribosomal RNA (5.8S rRNA) is a component of the large subunit of the eukaryotic ribosome. It is transcribed by RNA polymerase I as part of the 45S precursor that also contains 18S and 28S rRNA. Functionally, it is thought that 5.8S rRNA may be involved in ribosome translocation. The record is from Ensembl.